This is an unclassified non-coding RNA of Stegodyphus dumicola, 704 nucleotides long. The record is from RefSeq and is a predicted model, not a curated record. NCBI's taxonomy places the organism in Eukaryota, Metazoa, Arthropoda, Arachnida, Araneae, Eresidae.
ACCUAUGUUACACUGUGAAAAUGCCUUCGAUGUCUCUCCUGUGGUUCGACACGUGCAGAAUCUCUCUAUGGAUUAUUAUUUUCAAAAUAUGAAAGAAGUAUUUAUACGGAAUCAUUUCGAUCUCCUCGAAAAAUACCAGAAAUCGGAUAUGCUUUUAACCAAGAGGAUUUGGAGUUAUUUGAAAAGUGGAGUCUCCUUGGCGAGAGAGGAAGUCAACUUGAAAUCGGGGUUAGCAGCCAGGGUCAGAUUUUUCAAGCAGGGUCCUCUGGAAAGCUGGACCUCUAAAGUAAGGAAUGCUAGACCUUCAAAAAUGCAAUAGAAGUGUAGAGUUUCCCACUUGUAAAUGCUACGUUACAGUUGAACGUCAAGAAUCUUAAGAACUGAUAAGCGAGUAAUCGCUUGGGUUCGUGUGACAAGAAACAACAAGCUGGAAGGCUGUUUCCCUGGACUUUCCCGUCUUUUGGAGCGUCUUUGGAGGCAAGCAAACGGUUUCCUGUUCUGCCUGCGCUGCCUGACUUCCGCACUGAGGAUUCAUCCUAUAAGCUAGAGGUAGCUGGACUUCACGACGGCGACUGUUCCGCAGAUGACUGAAUGAACUUUUAAUUUUAAUUGAAAACUAAAGAUAAAUAUAAUAAUGAUCUUUAUAAUAAUGUAAAACUUUAUUAUUACACUGAAGAAUAAAAGCAGUGGUUUAAAAAAUAAAA